AGAGACGCAGCUACAGCAGCAGCGAUCCUCCUUUCCUCCAGUCGCUCCGGCCACGCGUCCAAUGCCAGGACCCCUCCUGCGCCUCCUGCUGCUGCUGACGACACACGGCCAAACCUUCCCCAGAUAGCUCCACAACUCCGAGUCCAGAGAAAGUUCUCCUCCGGAGCGCAAACGAAACAAGAGAGGGGAGGUCCUGCGAGAGAUAUUACACAGGAAGCGACUCUAGUCUGACCGCUUUUCUCUCUCAGGAGAUGAAGAUGAUGGAGGCGAAAGUCUGGAUUGCUCUUUGUGCGCUUCUGCUCCUUAACCGGGGAUCCGUAGCUUCUGAUACUAACAGCACUGCUGUGCCAUCAACUGCUCCACACCAGAAGGAAAGCUCAACAACUCAGCCGCCAUUAGAAUCUUCCACUGCUUCCACCAAUGCCACCCAAAACCUGGACACCAGAACCAACAUCACAAGCAUGAUGAAUACUUCCUCUACUGCCAUGCCAUCUAUCAAUCAAACUUCAUCAAAUCAAAGCAACAUUUUGGACAAUUCUACUGCCUCUUCUGCGCCGUCCAACCACUCCAUUCAAAAUGAAACCUCCCCCACUUCUGCCCCAACAUCUGAUCCCGCGACGAACUCUACAACCGCCGGCCUUAGUACCAGUUCAGUAUCCAACACCAGCCGGUCUCAAGAGACCACCACUUCCCAGCCGUCUCAAUCCAGCUUUGGAUCAACUAAACUCUUCCCAAGUACCACGAUAAGUCUGCCGAACAGCUCCUCCACCCAUACCACAAGUCCGUCCCAGCUCAACGUGAAGGGGAAAAUCUCUCCUCCACUGGACCCCCUUCUGGCUGGCCUAGUGUCAGCUUUCAUCGUCACUGCCGUCAUCAUCACACUGCUCCUCUUCCUCAAACUCCGCCGAAGAGACAGCGGACCGCAGUUUACCCGGCUGCAGGACCUACCCAUGGAUGACAUGAUGGAAGACUCACCCCUGUCCAUGUACAACUACUGAUUGGGUGUUGGGGGCCAACCAGAGCCUUUUCUACUCUUCAAUCCAGUACAGCAGUGCUGUGGUUGUUGAACCAGAUCUCCUUAAUCUGCACCUAACAGAAAUCUGCCUGGGUAGGUGUAAGCGUUUGCCUGGAUUACUUCUACUCACCCAGAUUUACCGGACGUGCAGAGGGAAUGGACCUAAUUUAAAGAGAAGUGCACAAUGAAGACCAGGAGGAAACCCUUUGGAAACCCUGUUUGAUCAAAAGCCUCUGUUCACUGCUGUACAUAUAAAGUUUGAGCUUGUACAUAUUUUCAUGCUCUUCAAAUGGUUAACAAAGAGUAGGUAUAAAACAGGAGGAAAUGGCUUUCAGUUGUAUCUGUCUGUGAUGCUCAGACCCCGGCCGAGGCGGUCGUGGCCCUCCGUCCACCGUCUGAGGUCUGACAGAAAAGACGCGAGGGGGGGGAAAAAACCUGAUUGUUAUGUCAAGAGGUUUGCACUUUACUUUUGAAAAAAAAGAGUUCAGUUUUGAUUCAGGUGAAUUUGGAAAAAAAAAAAAAAAACAAUUCUGUAAAUAGAUGGCCGACAGUAUUAGUGCUUUUAAGUGUGAGUGCCUUUGUGCGGGUCCGUUGCAUACAAGAGAGGAAUUGCAGGCAUGGCAGGGAAUAUUUAAUGUUUUAUUUUUAUAAUGCGUUUCUGUUGUCCUCAGGCCUUUAGUCCAGGAAAAAAAAGUGCCUUACACAUUUCAACAAAAGGCUUUUCUUGAUUCCUUCAAUUAUUUGCCAGAUGAACAAAGAUUUACAAUUUCCAGAUUUUAGUCACACCCACCCAAAGCAGUGAAGCUGCGCUGGCCUGCUGAUGUUCACUUGACUGCAGGCCUUCAGUCAGUAUCAAUGGAAAAUAAUGGUGGGAAAAUGGCUUUUACACAUAAUAUUUAGAUUUUAUAAACUGCUGAUGCUAAUUACCGAAAUUGGGCAAAACAACAAUAACAAAAAUAAAUGGAGUGACUCGGCAACGCCUUGUUUUAAGUUCAGAAGUAUUUUAAAGAUUUUUUACGCUAGCUUUGCAGAUGUACAGACAAAGAAGCAGCAAAACGUGUAUUUGUUCCAGUUAGCCAUGGGCUGGUUGUCUGUGUAGCAUCUGUAUUUUCCAUCACCUGGUUCCUAAAACCUUUGGGUCAUUAACAUCUUUUAAUGGAAUGUAAGAGAAAGUGCUGGAGUGUUGGGAUGUGUUUGCAGCACAUGGUAAUGCAGCGUUGCCCCAUCCACUUAUUGAUGCACAUUCCCAGUCAGCUUGCUGAAAGCAACUUGAACAUAUUUCUGGUUACGAUAAACACAGACAGUCACGGGCUGGAAGGACCACCACCCAUCUCUCAGUAAUGUAAAUUCUAAAUAUCCAGUCAGCAAAUGGGAGGUUUGUUGAACAGGGGACUGCAGGCUGGCUGCCCGAGCAGAUAGCCUGAAUAAAACAGCCAGCUCAUUUACACUCGUUACUCUACUGGGAGCAGAAUGGCUAAAAAGUAUGACGUUCUGUACAGAAAGCUUUUUGAAACUAUUACUAAAUUUAGUGCAUAUUUAUUUUGUCCUUUACAUGUCUACAGUUAUGCCCAAAAUUAUUCGUAGCCCUGGUAGAUUUACGUUUAAGGUGCUCUUUUAAGUUUACCAUCAGAUCUUUUCUAACUGGGGGAGGCCCAGCGAGAGUUCUGGAGGGAGACUAGAUGUUCAUCGCCAACUAUAAAACCAGUAAGUUACCAGGAUAAGCAUGCAAAAAGCUGGUCAGCAAUCAUAUAAUGAUGCUGUAAUGACAAUAAAGAUCUUUUUUCACUGAUUGAGAAGGAUAUAAAUAAUGUUUUGCUUUUCAAAAAUAUGUAUACUCCUUUUACGUUGUUAUACAAUGAGAGAUGUCCGUCUCUUUUCCUUAUAGAAACAAACCUCUUGGUUGAAUGAAAGUAAUUCUAAAUCUAAAUUUUCCAGGGCUAUGAAUAACUGAGCGUAGCUCUACAUAUAAAAAAAAGGGGCUCAAUAAAUGUUAUGGAUGACAUUAUUAUGACUGUAGUGUUCAGUGGAGUAGGUACAGUUGCUUUUCUGUUUCAGAUUAGGCAAUAAAUGGGUUUUGAAUUUAGAUGUAACAUUUUGUGGGACGUUUUGAGGUUAGAAUAGCGUGAGAGAGUCGUACUGAGCCAUGCCUAGUUCUCAUACAGAGUCACAGUCUGACCUCGGUUUGUGUUUAACCUAUUUCUACAGGAACCACUGAUUCAAUUAAAGAGCAACAGAAUGGUCGCAUCUGCGUGUUGCCAAUGUGCAAGAUGCACAUAUUUGGUGUAAAUUGUACAUGUUCAUAAAACAAUGCAGCGUUUUUCAUGUUUGCUUCUUGUUUUAGUGUCUUGGUGAUAGAAAUGGUCUCUGUUUUAACUUGGGUGCAGGUCUUUUAAGCUCACAGCAAACCGUCUGUUGAUCAUUUUCAGUGGGUUGGAAAAUGUUUGUCCAGGACUUUUUGCUCCGUUUCUCUUGAUCACAAAUCUGUUGAAUGCAUUUUGCUGCCAUUUGUACAUUUUAGACUGCUAUUUUUGUGAAUAAAUUUGUUUUAAGAUCA
Long non-coding RNA from Fundulus heteroclitus (mummichog), 3569 nucleotides. RefSeq annotates it as putative protein TPRXL. The record is from RefSeq and is a predicted model, not a curated record. Lineage: Eukaryota; Metazoa; Chordata; Actinopteri; Cyprinodontiformes; Fundulidae. The transcript has 4 exons.